This 62-nucleotide transfer RNA is filed under the name Adelocera sp. UPOL RK0025. Its description in RNAcentral is "tRNA-Phe". Lineage: Eukaryota; Metazoa; Arthropoda; Insecta; Coleoptera; Elateridae. The record is from RNAcentral.
AUUUUAAUAGCUUAUUAGAGCGUGAUAUUGAAGAUAUCAAGGAGAUCUUUGAUCUUAAAAUA